UACGUGGGGGGCAAGCGUUGUUCGGAAUUACUGGGCGUAAAGGGCUCGUAGGCGGCCCACUAAGUCGGAUGUGAAAUCCCCAAGCUUAACUUGGGAACUGCAUCCGAUACUGGAUGGCUUGAAUCCGGGAGAGGGAUGCAGAAUUCCAGGUGUAGCGGUGAAAUGCGUAGAUAUCUGGAGGAAUACCGGUGGCGAAGGCGGCAUCCUGGACCGGCAUUGACGCUGAGGAGCGAAAGCUAGGGGAGCAAACGGG
This 253-nucleotide ribosomal RNA is filed under the name uncultured bacterium. RNAcentral describes it as "partial 16S ribosomal RNA". It matches the Rfam family "Bacterial small subunit ribosomal RNA", at positions 524 to 776 of the family's 1533-position model. The record is from RNAcentral.